CAUGAUUGUGCUAUGGCAGUGAUUGGGAGCUAAUGGUCUAGAAGAAGCCAUGCCUGUGCAAUGAAAUAAAUUUCCAGGAGAUGUUGUGAGCUUCUCACGCCAGCGUCCGUUGCAUUCUCUCUCUCUUUGGCAUCACAGAGAGCACGUCCUCUCUCUCUCUCCAUGUCCAACUCAGCGUGCUUGAAUUGCAUCGACCUUUCCGAACCAGACAUUCAUAAAUCCGUCUCUCUUCUGAAACAGGCAUGCGAGGACUCGGGGUUCUUCUACGUGGUGAACCACGGGAUCAGCCAGGAGCUGGUGGACGAGGUCCUCGCCCAGAGCAAGAGGUUCUUCGACCUCCCACUUAAGGAGAAGAUGAAGCUCUUGAGGAAUAAGAAGCACAAGGGUUACACUCCUAUCUUGGAUGAGACUCUCGACCCUGACAAUCAAGUUCAUGGGGAUUGCAAGGAGGGCUACUACAUCGGCGUCGAGGUUCCCGAGGACGACCCCCGUUCCCAGAAGCCAUUCUUUGGCUCAAACCGUUGGCCUUCUUCAGAUGUACUGCCAGGCUGGAGAGACACCAUGCUUAAGUAUCAUGAAGAGGCACUUGAGGUGGUUAAGUCAAUUUCUAAGAUUAUUGCUCUGGCUCUUGAUCUCAAUGCUGAGUUCUUUAUCAAGCCAGAAAUUCUUGGAGAACCCAUUGCAACUUUGCGACUUAUACAUUAUUCAGUGUUUCCAGAUGAAGUAUCUAAUCCAGAAAAGGGAAUAUAUGGAGCUGGAGCACAUUCUGAUUAUGGUUUGAUCACACUUUUGUUAACAGAUGAAGUAUUGGGUCUCCAAAUAUGCAAAGAUAAGGAUGCACAAACUCAGGUUUGGGAAUAUGUGCCUCCAAUGAAGGGGGCGUUUAUUGUAAACCUCGGUGACAUGCUUGAGCGGUGGAGCAAUUGUAUCUUCAGAUCAACAUUGCACCGGGUGAUAGUUAAUGGUCAGGAGCGCUAUUCUGUAGCUUUUUUUGUGGAGCCAAACCAUGAAUGUGUUGUGGAGUGCCUACCGACGUGCAAGUCAGCAGCCAACCCCCCAAACAGGUUCCCUCCUGUCACAUGCAGUGCAUACCUGUCUCAGCGGUACAAGGAGACUUAUGCCGAUCUAAGUGUCCACAGUGAAAAUCGAGUGUAGUUGGUCUUGAUUCGAGGCGCUCUUGUCGUGGACCUUUUUUCCUGCAGUUAUAUACAUGGAUGUACUGAAAUAAGCGCUGCUUGGCAAACGGCUAAGUUUAUUCGUAUACGUUCCCUCCCGUCACAUGCAGUGCAUACCUGUCUCAGCGGUACAAGGAGACUCAUGCCGAUCUAAGUGUCUACAGUGGAAAUGGAGUGUAGUUGGUCUUGAUUCGAGGCGCUCUUGUCGUGGACCUUUUUUCUUGCAGUUGUAUACAUGGAUGUACUGAAAUAAGCUCUGCUUGGCAAACGGCUAAGUUUAUUCGUAUACGUACGUGCAUAGUUUAAUAAAUCUUACUUCCACCAA
Nymphaea colorata (pocket water lily) is the source of this 1500-nucleotide RNA transcript. It is a transcript of the gene named 2-oxoglutarate-Fe(II) type oxidoreductase hxnY, with no coding region annotated. The record is from RefSeq and is a predicted model, not a curated record. Lineage: Eukaryota; Viridiplantae; Streptophyta; Magnoliopsida; Nymphaeales; Nymphaeaceae. The transcript has 12 exons.